UGCCCUAUAGCCAAGUGGUAAGGCAGUGCGCUCUGACCGCAUUACGCGUUAGUUCGAAUCUAACUAGGGCAGCCA
This 75-nucleotide transfer RNA is filed under the name Mollicutes bacterium. RNAcentral's name for it is "tRNA-Gln". It matches the Rfam family "tRNA". From Rfam's summary of the family: Transfer RNA (tRNA) molecules are approximately 80 nucleotides in length. Their secondary structure includes four short double-helical elements and three loops (D, anti-codon, and T loops). RNAcentral also lists the same sequence under 3 other names. The record is from RNAcentral. Lineage: Bacteria; Bacillati; Mycoplasmatota; Mollicutes.